Molecule: long non-coding RNA, 958 nt
Organism: Xiphophorus hellerii (green swordtail)
Lineage: Eukaryota; Metazoa; Chordata; Actinopteri; Cyprinodontiformes; Poeciliidae
Exons: 3
Source: RefSeq, a predicted model, not a curated record
AUAGGCUUUCUGUAAACAUUAUGAUUAGAGUAUGAAAAGUCUGUAAAAUGUAGAUUUCACUAAAGUUACUGCAGAAUAAUAAACUUAGCAAAAUGCUAAGCCCUGGAAGUCACUGCUAAGAAAGGCUGGUACAUCUGUGAUCACAUCAUUGUUGGUGUUUGUCUUUCAGAAGUGUCUCAUCAACAUGACCUCCUCUCAGCCCAAUGUGACUGUGGUUCUGCACAUCAUGUCUGCAAAAAUAGCAGACACUGGGAAUUACAGCUGUAGCACUCAUCCAGAUUAUAAAACAGUUGAUGCAAUUAGUCCUCUAGUCUACAUUCAGAUAACAGGGUCACAGGCAGCGUUUCAGCCCAUCUCAACUGUCAGUGUUCAAGAAACACCAUCUGACUAUGAAGAGUCACCAGGCCAUCACAGGCAAGGCAGCCAGUCAACGCCAUCCACCCCGACCACAGUGAGCAACCAGAAGCUUUGCAGCACAGACCUACAUAACAGUAAACCAGAUCUCUAUAUUUCUAGUAAGUUUCAACUUUUUUCUGUUACAUAUUUUGCUAAAACAGGUCAUAUGCAUUAUGAAUGGUUAGUGUCGCUGUAACACUAAUGUAGAAUCACAACCAUGUCUGUUAUUCAGCAUGUCAGAAAGACGGGAGGAGUGAAAUCUGUCUGUCUCUCUGACCAGGAAUUAACACAAAUACACAAACACAGCAGCAUCUCUUUGGUCUUUGCCACAUCAUUGUUAUUUUUGCACUGAUCACAAGCUCCUCCACCUCCCUCCUGUACAAAGCUUUACAGUUGUUGGAGAUUGAUCUAAAGCUGUAGUAUUUUAUGAAAACCUCACAAUUUCUGGAUCCCUUGCAGACCAAUCAUACAGUGCCAAAGUAUUAACCCCCUUCAUAGUUUUACUGUUUUACUGCCUUUACAAAUCAAUCAUGAUUAACAAAAUAUUUUGACAAAGAAAAAA